Molecule: small nuclear RNA, 107 nt
Organism: Camelus dromedarius (Arabian camel)
Lineage: Eukaryota; Metazoa; Chordata; Mammalia; Artiodactyla; Camelidae
Source: Ensembl
GUCCUCACUUCGGCAGCACAUACACUAAAAUUGGAACAAUACAGAGAAGAUUAGCAUGUCCCCUGAGCAAGGAUGACAUGCAAAUUUGUGAAGCGUUCCAUAUUUUU